AGGUAAUAUGAUGCGGUUCGGUAC
Molecule: non-coding RNA, 24 nt
Filed under: Arabidopsis thaliana (thale cress)
Lineage: Eukaryota; Viridiplantae; Streptophyta; Magnoliopsida; Brassicales; Brassicaceae
Source: RNAcentral